CCUACGGGAGGCUGCAGUGGGGAAUAUUGGGCAAUGGGCGCAAGCCUGACCCAGCAACGCCGCGUGAAGGAAGAAGGCUUUCGGGUUGUAAACUUCUUUUCUGAGGGACGAAGAAAGUGACGGUACCUCAGGAAUAAGCCUCGGCUAACGACGUGCCAGCAGCCGCGGUAAUACGUAGGUGGCAAGCGUUCUCCGGAUUUGUUGGGUGUAAAGGGUGGGUAGGCGGGAAGGCAAGUCAGAUGUGAAAACUCAGGGCUCAACCCUGGGCCUGCAUUUGAAACUGGUUUUCUUGAGUGCUGGAGAGACAAUCGGAAUUCGGGGUGUAGCGGUGAAAUGCGUAGAUAUACGGAGGAACACCAGUGGCGAAGGCGGAUUGCUGGACAGUAACUGACGCUGAGGCGCGAAAGCGUGGGGAGCAAACAGGAUUAGAUACCCCUGUAGUC
This 443-nucleotide ribosomal RNA is filed under the name uncultured bacterium. RNAcentral's name for it is "partial 16S ribosomal RNA". It matches the Rfam family "Bacterial small subunit ribosomal RNA", at positions 338 to 795 of the family's 1533-position model. The record is from RNAcentral.